UUCUAAAGAAUUCAAAGUUCAAGAGGUUUGGGGCGCUGGAUCUCACAUGGCAGCAUGCCACAAGGAUCUUGGUGAAAAGACUUUAAGGCUGACAACUGUGCAGCACUUCUGGAAAGUUAAGUGCUCCAAAGGAAGAACAUGAAUUCUUGGUUCCACUAGAAUGAAACAGACUUGCAUCAUCGACACAGCUACAGACUACAAUGGAUAGAUGUAUACACAUUGACUUUGCCAGGCUGCGCUCGCAUUUUGUUUCAUCAUGUCCCCUGAAGUGCCUUAAGUUUUCACCAACUGUUCAUUAUGUCUCGUUAACAAGAUAAAGAGCUGCAUGCCAAGCUAGAUGUGAAGCUGGGAAAACAGAAGACCCUGAUUGAUUCAAUGAAACUAUCAACGCUGCAUGGGGCGCAUUAGCGCAGGGUAAGUGGUUGUGACAGCUCCCAUGUUAUCUGCACCCAACUUGAAGUGACAGUUCUACCAUGCGCCCAUAAAGCAGGCAUCUGAUUGUCUACUGCAAUUACAUGACUGAAGCAAAACAGGAAGAGGAAAAAAGUUAUGCGGUGGUAACGGAUCCACAUGCAAUUAAAAGCUUUACUUUAGAAUGGCGAGAAGCAAAUUUAGGUGGAAAUGCUCCACUUGAGGCAGUGUAAUUGUCAAAAACAUUUGUGAGUCUCCGAAUUAAUAUGUCUCCGAGGCAAAAGUGUUUUACAGAUGCAGCUAUGCAUAUUAUCAUGGAAUGAGGUAUUCUGAGCUAAACACUAACAUCAAAGGCCUGUCACUCUUACUUAGUGAUUGGAAUAUGCAAUGGUUCAGAAAAGAGAGUCGAGCAUUGCCUUUGUAUCACCCUCUUACUUGUGCAUAACAUUGGUCUUGCAAUAAGAUGGUAGGAUCGCAGGUGUGGGUCUGUGCACAGAGUCUUCGAGAUGCCCCUUGCUCACUUCAUCAAUCACAGAGGCUGUCUGAUUUUAAAGGUGCUAAAGUACAUGUGUGUGACCCCAGGCACCGUGAUGGCACCUUAACACUGACACGGAUGACAGAAUUUUCCAGAAAUAGACUCUCUGCUGCACGGAACCUUGUCCCAGCUGCACAAAACGCACUCCUGAGAGGGAUAUGUGGGCCUUGUGCACCAUGUGUGCGUUGAGACUUUCAUUUAAGGGGUUAUGGAUUUGGCUUGAGGGUAACAGAGGUUUAGGAGGUUUGGGGGGAGUUAAAGACAUGAAAAUGUCCUCCUGGAUCUCAAGAGAUUAUUGGCCAACCAUAGAAGGUACAUUGGCAUAUAACUGUUCUUUAGUAAGGGAGUCUAGAGUAGCACUUACAACUAUGUAGCAAUAUGUUCUGUGAGAUCUGGUAUUUACAUUGAGGAGCGACUACCAUGCUAAAUUUGGGAUCCGUCUUUUUAUGCCCUUCUAACGCCUCUAAAGCCAUGGUCACACUAGACUUUGAGCAUGCAAAAGUAGUUUGAACAGUGCUCCGAAAAGGGGCGGGAGCAGGAUAUGACCUCACACACCAAGGUUUUCACAGUACACUCAACCCAUCAUAAUUCCAUUCUAUUUAAGUGAUUACAAUAUAGUAAUAAGUAUAGUUAAUCAAUUAUGCACACAUAUAAGUCUCAUGCAAUAAAAAUAUCACAUAAAAUAUUUUUAUGAUUUUUGUAAUCUUUUAAGGUUGUGUUGUAUAAAACAGGAUGCCACAACACUGCUAAAAUUAGAGAUCACUAUAAGUUUAGAGGUCACUUUGUAAAGUUUUGAUCAUCUAUUCGUCUCAUGCAUUCACAUCAUGUGAAUUUGCAGGUCAGAGUGCACCAAACUUGAACUUUGCUUCGCAGUGAAAUGCGAAAAUAUCAAAAGUCUAGUGUGACCACGGCUUAAGGCACUUAGUUCCUCAUCUAGUAUACUGUAGCAUACUCAUGAGCACAGGGGAGAAGUGGCCAUACUCGGAACAGCACCACAUACUGGUAAAAAAAAAAACUUUAAUUGCUGUGUGGAAUACAAUGAUUCCCAUCCUUACAUGGUCUGCUUUUGUGCAUCAAAUCUGCUUAUAACAUUUGAAUUUACAUUUGUACUUAUACAAUUUUGGGGGUUACACAUGGUGUUUCAUUGCUUUGGCCCCAUAAUAUGGAAGCAGGCACGUGCGGGGGUGGGUUGGUUUUUUGGGUUGUGCUUGAGCACCUGCCCCUUUUCCCCUUGAUACCCAAAGUGCGUGUGGACUUCUCAGUGGAGCGGUGUGCUUGAAUAAUUAUAUUAUUGUAGAAUUGUAUAAACUUGCUAAAUCAUCUAAACCAACAACAUGUAUGUUAGACCCUAUUCCAUUUAAGCUCCUAAAGAGGUGCUUCCAGAAGUCAUAGAUCCUCUUCUGACUAUUAUUAAUUCCUCAUUGUCAUUAGUUUAUGUAGCAGAAACCUUCAAAUUGGCUGUUAUUAAGCCUCUUAUCAAAAAAAAAAAAAACACAACUUGACCCCAAAAAACUAGUUAAUUAUAGACCGAUCUCGAAUCUCUGUCCAAGAUACUAGAAAAGGUAGUAUCCUCACAAUUAUAUUCCUUCUUAGAGAAAAUUUUUAUCUGUGAGGAUUUCCAGUCAAGAUUUAGACCUUCUCAUAUAACUGAGACUGCUCUCUACUUAGAGUUACAAAUGACCUACUCUUAUCAUAUGAUCGUGGUUGUAUCUCUCUAUUAGUGCUAUUGGAUCUUAGUGCUGCGUUUGACACUAUUGACUACAAUAUUCUUUUGCAUAGACUAGAACACUUUGUUGGCAUUAAUGGAAGUUCAUUAGCAUGAUUUAAAUCGUACUUAAAUGACCGACCAAUUCGUAGUAGUGAAUGAAGAAGUAUUAUAUCGAUCACAAGUGCAGAAUGGAGUCCCUCAAGGCUCAGAACUAGGACCAUUACUCUUUACAUGUUACCCUUGGGAGAUAUCAUCAGGAAACACGGUGUUAACUUUCACUGUUAUUAUAUUAUGUUUUAUAUUUCUUCUCGGCCCGACGAAACAUACCAGUUUGAAAAACAAACUGAAUGCAUAAUCAUUAUAAAAAACUGGAUGAUGAGAAAUUUCUUACUGUUAUAUAUAAAAAAAAAAAAACAUUAUUAGUUUCAGUUAGUUAAUUAUAGGAGCUAAAAAAACGCUGUCUAAGACUUGAUGGCUGCACUGUCAAUUCCUGCCAUUUGAUUGCAAUCUUGCUUAUUACUUAUAAAGCCCUGAAUGGUUUAGCACCUCAGUACUUGAAUGAGCUCUUGUUACAUUAUAAUCCUCCAUGUCCGCUGCGUUCUCAAAACUCAGGCAAUCUGAUAAUACCUAGAAUAUAAAAAUCAACUGAGGGCGCCAGAUCCUUUUCAUAUUUGGCACCUAAACUCUGGAAUAACCCACCUAACAUUGUUCGGGAGGCAGACACACUCUUGCAGUUUAAAUCUAGAUUAAAGACCCAUCUCUUUAACCUGGCUUACACAUAACAUACUAAUCUGCUUUUAAUAUCCAAAUCCGUUAAAGGAUUUUUAAGCUGCAUUAAUUAGGUAAACCGGAACCGGAAACACUUCCCAUAACACCCGAUGUACUGACUACAUCAUUAGAAGAAUGGCAUCUACAUUAAUAUUAGUCUGUUUCUCUCUUAUUCUGAGGUCACUGCAGUCACAUGGAUCCAGUACGUAUCCAGACAUGAUGGUGGAUCAGCACCUAGAACGGACCUCUACUGCCCUGAAAGACAGCGGAGACCAGGGCAACUAGAGCCCCAGAUACAGAUCCCCUGUAAAGACCUUGUCUCAGAUGACCACCAGGACAAGACCACAGGAAACAGAGGAUUCUUCUGCCAAUCUGACUUUGCUGCAACCUGGAAUUUAACUGCUGGUUUGGUCUGGUCAGAGGAGAACUGCCCCCCCAACUGAGCCUGGUUUCUUCCAAGGUUUUUUCUCCAUUCUGUCACAGAUGGAGUUUUUGUUUGUUGCUGCUGUCACCUCUGGCUUGCUUAGUUGGAGUCACUUCAUUUACAGCGAUAUUGUUGACCUGAUUGCAAAUGAUUGCAAAGACACUAUUUAAACUGGACUGAUAUGAUAACAUCACUGAAUUCAAUGAUGAACUGUCUUAAAUUGCCAUUUUGCAUUAUUGACACACUGUUUUCCUAAUAAAUGUUGUUCAGUUGCUUUGA
Molecule: long non-coding RNA, 4125 nt
Organism: Carassius gibelio (silver crucian carp)
Lineage: Eukaryota; Metazoa; Chordata; Actinopteri; Cypriniformes; Cyprinidae
Exons: 2
Source: RefSeq, a predicted model, not a curated record